GUGGCCUGGCUGUUAAGACGCCGGGCUACCAACCUGGGGGUCGCAGGUUCGAA
RNAcentral lists this transfer RNA (53 nucleotides) under Oxyrrhis marina. RNAcentral describes it as "partial tRNA". The record is from RNAcentral. Lineage: Eukaryota; Dinophyceae; Oxyrrhinales; Oxyrrhinaceae.